CAUCUUUCGCAAUUGCCCGCCCUCGCCUAUAUAAAGGGGCGUCGGGCUCGCCCGACUAUGGCAAUAAACGUUUUGCGCAAUAAACGUUCGGACCCGGGGGCAGUACCCGGCGCCUCCACCAUUUCUUAGAAGUUUGCGCGGCAGCCGUCGCGACCGGAAUGGGGGCGAAACAGGAUCGACGGGCGCGUAAAGGCUCAACUUUUGCCCGGCAUGGUA
RNAcentral lists this transfer-messenger RNA (216 nucleotides) under Rhodospirillaceae bacterium. RNAcentral describes it as "partial transfer-messenger RNA". It matches the Rfam family "Alphaproteobacteria transfer-messenger RNA", at positions 1 to 203 of the family's 355-position model. Rfam says of the family: Bacterial tmRNA, also known as 10Sa RNA or SsrA, is named for its dual tRNA and mRNA-like properties. Lineage: Bacteria; Pseudomonadati; Pseudomonadota; Alphaproteobacteria; Rhodospirillales; Rhodospirillaceae. The record is from RNAcentral.